RNAcentral lists this long non-coding RNA (372 nucleotides) under Brassica napus (rape). RNAcentral describes it as "long non-coding RNA (BNAP_LNC005902)". The record is from RNAcentral. Lineage: Eukaryota; Viridiplantae; Streptophyta; Magnoliopsida; Brassicales; Brassicaceae.
AGUGGCCGGGAUUCGAACCCAGGUGGUGGUACUCACAGCUGUAAGCCCUUUACCACUAGAGCUAGAAGCCCCGGUUAAACAUAAAGCACAUGUUAUAUAUAAUAACUUUUGCUUAAGCACUUAAGAGUUUUUUUUUUCAACGCUGGAUAAUUAUGCUAUUACAAACUAUGAGAAUAUUACAGACGAUUCUACAGCCGACAAUUCUACAUACCUUAUGAAGGUUCACGCCUGACUGUAUCACAUGAGCUGUUUAUGGGAGGACCGAGCAAUCUUAUCUAAUUGAUCCAAGGUAGAUAUCAGAAGAGCUAUAGUACUCAUCGUAUGUACUAGAAUAUAGAUGAGAGGACAGACUUAGUAAGUGUUAUCCUUCCC